RNAcentral lists this ribosomal RNA (1434 nucleotides) under Mycobacterium chesapeaki. RNAcentral describes it as "partial 16S ribosomal RNA". It matches the Rfam family "Bacterial small subunit ribosomal RNA". Lineage: Bacteria; Bacillati; Actinomycetota; Actinomycetes; Mycobacteriales; Mycobacteriaceae. The record is from RNAcentral.
UCUGCCCUGCACUUCGGGAUNAGCCUGGGAAACUGGGUCUAAUACCGGAUAGGACCACGGGAUUCAUGUCCUGUGGUGGAAAGCUUUUGCGGUGUGGGAUGAGCCCGCGGCCUAUCAGCUUGUUGGUGGGGUAACGGCCUACCAAGGCGACGACGGGUAGCCGGCCUGAGAGGGUGUCCGGCCACACUGGGACUGAGACACGGCCCAGACUCCGACGGGAAGCAGCAGUGGGGAAUAUUGCACAAUCGGCGCAAGCCUGAGGCAACGACGCAGCGUGGGGGAUGACGGCCUUCGGGUUGUAAACCUCGUUUCACCAUCCACGAAGGUACGGGUUUUCUAGGAUUGACGGUAGGUGAAGAAAAAGCACAGACCAACUACGUGCCAGCACCCGCGGUAAUACGUAGGGUGCGAGCGUUGUCCGCAAUUACUGGGCGUAAAGAGAUCGUAGGUGGUUUGUCGCGUUGUUCAUGAAAUCUCACGGCUUAACUGUGAGCGUGCGGAUGAUACGGGCAGACUACAGUACUGCAGGGGAAACUGGAAUUCCUGGUGUAACGGUGGAAUGCGCAAAUAUCAGGAGGAACACCGGUGGCGAAGCCCNGUUUCUGGACAGUAACUUACNGUCAGNAGUAAAAGUGUGGGGAGCGUACAAGAUUAAAUACCCUGGUAGUCCAUGCCGUAAACGGUGGGUACUAGGUGUGGGUUUCCUUCCUUGGGAUCCGUGCCGUAGCUAACGCAUUAAGUACNCCGCCUGGGGAGUACGGCCGCAAGGCUAAAACUCAAAGGAAUUGACGGGGGCCCGCACAAGCGGCGGAGCAUGUGGAUUAAUUCGAUGCAACGCGAAGGGGCCUUACCUGGGUUUGACAUGCACAGGNCGCGUCUAAAACAUAGGCGUUCCCUUGUGGCCUGUGUGCACCUGGUGCAUGACUGUNGUCAGCUCGUGUCGUGAGAUGAUGGGUUAAGUCCCCCAACGAGCGCAACCCUNGUNUCAUGUUGCCAGCACGUAAUGGUGGGGACUCNUAAAAAACUGCCGGGGUCAACUCGGAGAAANGGGGGGAUAACCUCAAGUCAUCAUNCCCCCUAUGUACAGGGCUUCACACAUGCUACAAUGGCCGGGUACAAAGGCAUCAAAUCCCCCAAGGUUAAAAAAACCCUUUAAAACCCGGGCAAAACAGAGGACCAGGGGGAACCCAACCCCACCAAAACCAAAAGCACUAAAAAGCCACAUCAAAAAAACAAACGGCAAAAAAAUACCCGGCCCGGCACACAACCCCCCGCAAAAGAAAGAAAAAAAGGAAAAAACCAAACAAACCACCGAAACAACCCGAAAGGAACCAGCCAACAAAGGAGAACACACAAGGACAAAAAAGCCACAAAAAGAACCCAAACAGACUCAGCGCUUGGAGCACCGCCUUAAUAAAAAGCCGAAGGGAUUCC